UCGACCUACGGGACGCAGCAGUGGGGAAUAUUGCACAAUGGGGGAAACCCUGAUGCAGCGACGCUGCGUGAGUGAAGAAGUAUCUCGGUACGUAAAGCUCUAUCAGCAGGGAAGAAAAAAAGUCUUCGGCUUUGGACGGUACCUGACUAAGAAGCCCCGGCUAACUACGUGCCAGCAGCCGCGGUAAUACGGAGGGGGCAAGCGUUAUCCGGAUUUACUGGGUGUAAAGGGAGCGUAGACGGCAGCGCAAGUCUGGAGUGAAAUGCCGGGGCUCAACCCCGGAACUGCUUUG
This 292-nucleotide ribosomal RNA is filed under the name uncultured bacterium. RNAcentral describes it as "partial 16S ribosomal RNA". It matches the Rfam family "Bacterial small subunit ribosomal RNA", at positions 334 to 628 of the family's 1533-position model. The record is from RNAcentral.